This 408-nucleotide ribosomal RNA is filed under the name uncultured bacterium. Its description in RNAcentral is "partial 16S ribosomal RNA". It matches the Rfam family "Bacterial small subunit ribosomal RNA", at positions 28 to 526 of the family's 1533-position model. The record is from RNAcentral.
GACGAAAGCUGGCGGCGUGCUUAACACAUGCAAGUCGAACGAAGUGGCGAACGGGUGAGUAAUACGUGGGUAACCUGCCCUCCUUUUUGGGUUAAGCCUUGGAAACGGGGUCUAAUACCGAAUAAAGGGGGAUGGGCUCGCGGCCUAUGAGCUUGUUGGUGGGGUGAUGGCCUACCAAGGCGGUGACGGGUAGCCGGCCUGAGAGGAGGACCGGCCAAAGUGGGAAGAGAAUUCGGCCCAGACUCCUACGUGAGUCGGAGGGGGGGGAUAAUUCACAAUGGGCGAAGGCCUGGUCCAACCAUGCCGCGUGUGUGAAGAAGGUCUUCGGUUUAUAAAGCACUUUGAGUGGGGAGGGGUUGCUUCAAAAAUAAGCACCGGCUAACUUCGUGCCAGCCGCCGCGGUAAUUC